Molecule: long non-coding RNA, 405 nt
Organism: Hippopotamus amphibius kiboko
Lineage: Eukaryota; Metazoa; Chordata; Mammalia; Artiodactyla; Hippopotamidae
Exons: 4
Source: RefSeq, a predicted model, not a curated record
AGAACUAGGAGUAGGAAGAGUAGAGGCCAAAAUAUAUUUGUGAUGGAACUUUUCUUUCUGAAGACAUGCUAUAAAACAAGAAGCAUCAUUGGAAUUCUUUCUGACCGAGUAAAUUAUAGGCUUUCAAGCUGAGACAGAACCUGUCAAUUUAUCAGCUGAAACUGCAAUCCAUAUGGAAGAUGGAAAGACCCUUGAGGAUUUUGAGUAAAAGUCAUCUUCUCAUAAGUUAUCCUGACAUAUUUUACGCUGAAGAAUACACACAUCCAUCUUUGCCUUCAUGCACCUGGAAUCUAUCCAUGCAGAGCAGAUUAUACAGUUUAAGAAUAACUUAUCAGACUAUGAUUCAGCAUUGCUGCAGCUAUAAAAGAGGCAACCUGACCCUGCCCACCUGUGAAUGGGUGCAGA